AACUUUCAACAACGGAUCUCUUGGUUCUGGCAUCGAUGAAGAACGCAGCGAAAUGCGAUAAUUAAUGUGAAUUGCAGAAUUUAGUGAAUCAUCGAAUCUUUGAACGCACAUUGCGCCCCUUGGUAUUCCGGGGGGCAUGCCUGUUCGAGCGUCA
RNAcentral lists this ribosomal RNA (154 nucleotides) under Graphilbum sp. TKPB-2017. Its description in RNAcentral is "5.8S ribosomal RNA". It matches the Rfam family "5.8S ribosomal RNA". From Rfam's summary of the family: 5.8S ribosomal RNA (5.8S rRNA) is a component of the large subunit of the eukaryotic ribosome. It is transcribed by RNA polymerase I as part of the 45S precursor that also contains 18S and 28S rRNA. Functionally, it is thought that 5.8S rRNA may be involved in ribosome translocation. Lineage: Eukaryota; Fungi; Ascomycota; Sordariomycetes; Ophiostomatales; Ophiostomataceae. RNAcentral also lists the same sequence under 1 other name. The record is from RNAcentral.